Molecule: small nuclear RNA, 296 nt
Filed under: Erinaceus europaeus (western European hedgehog)
Lineage: Eukaryota; Metazoa; Chordata; Mammalia; Eulipotyphla; Erinaceidae
Description: 7SK RNA
Rfam family: 7SK RNA
About the family: 7SK was discovered as an abundant small nuclear RNA in the mid-70s but a possible function has only recently been suggested. Two independent studies have found that 7SK RNA binds the CDK9/cyclin T complex (known as elongation factor P-TEFb).
Source: Rfam by way of RNAcentral
AGAUGUGAGGGCAAUCUGGCUGCGACAUGUGUCACCCCAUUGAUUGCCAAGGUUGAUUCAGCUGAUCCGGCUGGCUAGGCGGUGUCCCCUUCCUCCCUCACCACUCCAUGUGCAUCCCUCCCAAGUUGUGCACUCGGUCAAAGAGGACAGCCUUCCCCAAUAGAGACGGACUGGUCUCUGGUUGAGGGUAUACACGUAGCUGCGCUCCCCUGCUAGAACCUCCAAACAAGCUCUCAAGGAAUACAGACUGGAAGGGAAGAAGUCAAACUUUCACUCUUUGCAGAUGAUAUGAUAGU